This 1366-nucleotide ribosomal RNA is filed under the name Curtobacterium sp. FSGSY23. RNAcentral's name for it is "bacterial SSU rRNA". It matches the Rfam family "Bacterial small subunit ribosomal RNA". The record is from RNAcentral. Lineage: Bacteria; Bacillati; Actinomycetota; Actinomycetes; Micrococcales; Microbacteriaceae.
CUACCAUGCAGUCGAACGAUGAUGCCAGCUUGCUGGGUGGAUUAGUGGCGAACGGGUGAGUAACACGUGAGUAACCUGCCCCUGACUCUGGGAUAAGCGUUGGAAACGACGUCUAAUACUGGAUAUGACUGCCGGCCGCAUGGUCUGGUGGUGGAAAGAUUUUUUGGUUGGGGAUGGACUCGCGGCCUAUCAGCUUGUUGGUGAGGUAAUGGCUCACCAAGGCGACGACGGGUAGCCGGCCUGAGAGGGUGACCGGCCACACUGGGACUGAGACACGGCCCAGACUCCUACGGGAGGCAGCAGUGGGGAAUAUUGCACAAUGGGCGAAAGCCUGAUGCAGCAACGCCGCGUGAGGGAUGACGGCCUUCGGGUUGUAAACCUCUUUUAGUAGGGAAGAAGCGAAAGUGACGGUACCUGCAGAAAAAGCACCGGCUAACUACGUGCCAGCAGCCGCGGUAAUACGUAGGGUGCAAGCGUUGUCCGGAAUUAUUGGGCGUAAAGAGCUCGUAGGCGGUUUGUCGCGUCUGCUGUGAAAUCCCGAGGCUCAACCUCGGGCUUGCAGUGGGUACGGGCAGACUAGAGUGCGGUAGGGGAGAUUGGAAUUCCUGGUGUAGCGGUGGAAUGCGCAGAUAUCAGGAGGAACACCGAUGGCGAAGGCAGAUCUCUGGGCCGUAACUGACGCUGAGGAGCGAAAGCGUGGGGAGCGAACAGGAUUAGAUACCCUGGUAGUCCACGCCGUAAACGUUGGGCGCUAGAUGUAGGGACCUUUCCACGGUUUCUGUGUCGUAGCUAACGCAUUAAGCGCCCCGCCUGGGGAGUACGGCCGCAAGGCUAAAACUCAAAGGAAUUGACGGGGGCCCGCACAAGCGGCGGAGCAUGCGGAUUAAUUCGAUGCAACGCGAAGAACCUUACCAAGGCUUGACAUACACCGGAAACGGCCAGAGAUGGUCGCCCCCUUGUGGUCGGUGUACAGGUGGUGCAUGGUUGUCGUCAGCUCGUGUCGUGAGAUGUUGGGUUAAGUCCCGCAACGAGCGCAACCCUCGUUCUAUGUUGCCAGCGCGUUAUGGCGGGGACUCAUAGGAGACUGCCGGGGUCAACUCGGAGGAAGGUGGGGAUGACGUCAAAUCAUCAUGCCCCUUAUGUCUUGGGCUUCACGCAUGCUACAAUGGCCGGUACAAAGGGCUGCGAUACCGUAAGGUGGAGCGAAUCCCAAAAAGCCGGUCUCAGUUCGGAUUGAGGUCUGCAACUCGACCUCAUGAAGUCGGAGUCGCUAGUAAUCGCAGAUCAGCAACGCUGCGGUGAAUACGUUCCCGGGCCUGUACACACCGCCCGUCAAGUCAUGAAAGUCGGUAACACCCGAAGCCGG